ACACUGCUGAGGAGUCCCAUACCAGGACGAAACGGCCGUCCAGUGC
This is a non-coding RNA of Schistosoma mattheei, 46 nucleotides long. Lineage: Eukaryota; Metazoa; Platyhelminthes; Trematoda; Strigeidida; Schistosomatidae. The record is from Rfam.